RNAcentral lists this ribosomal RNA (891 nucleotides) under uncultured bacterium. RNAcentral describes it as "bacterial SSU rRNA". It matches the Rfam family "Bacterial small subunit ribosomal RNA", at positions 8 to 908 of the family's 1533-position model. The record is from RNAcentral.
AGAGUUUGAUCCUGGCUCAGGAUGAACGCUGGCGGCGUGCCUAAUACAUGCAAGUCGAACGAGGUGCCUUUGUAGCAAUAUGAGGGUAUCCUAGUGGCGAACGGGUGAGUAACGCGUUGGUGACCUGCCCCGAAGUGUGGGAUAACAGUCCGAAAGGGCCGCUAAUACCGCAUGCGGUCAUCGGGUUUAGAAACCGAUGUCCAAAGCAGCAAUGCGCUUUGGGAGGGACCUGCGUCCCAUCAGCUAGUUGGUAGGGUAACGGCCUACCAAGGCGACGACGGGUAGGGGACCUGAGAGGGUGACCCCCCACAAUGGAACUGAAACACGGUCCAUACACCUACGGGUGGCAGCAGUAGGGAAUAUUGCACAAUGGGCGAAAGCCUGAUGCAGCAACGCCGCGUGCACGAUGAAGGUCUUCGGAUCGUAAAGUGCUUUUCUGGGAGAUGAGAAAGGACAGUACCCCAGGAAUAAGUCUCGGCUAACUACGUGCCAGCAGCCGCGGUAAAACGUAGGAGGCGAGCGUUAUCCGGAUUCACUGGGCGUAAAGCGCGUGCAGGCGGCUCGGUAAGUUGGGCGUGAAAUCUCCUGGCUUAACUGGGAGAGGUCGUCCAAUACUACCGGGCUAGAGAGCAGUAGAGGAAGAUGGAAUUCCCGGUGUAGUGGUGAAAUGCGUAGACAUCGGGAGGAACACCAGUGGCGAAGGCGAUCUUCUGGACUGUUUCUGACGCUCAGACGCGAAAGCUAGGGUAGUAAACGGGAUUAGAGACCCCGGUAAUCCUAGCCGUAAACGAUGUGAACUUGGCGUCGGUAGCUUAAACACUAUCGGUGUCGUAGCAAACGCGAUAAGUUCACCGCCUGGGGACUACGAUUGCAAGAUUAAAACUCAAAGGA